This 467-nucleotide ribosomal RNA is filed under the name uncultured bacterium. Its description in RNAcentral is "SSU rRNA". It matches the Rfam family "Bacterial small subunit ribosomal RNA", at positions 26 to 518 of the family's 1533-position model. The record is from RNAcentral.
AGGACUAACGCUGGCGGCGUGCCUAACACAUGCAAGUCGAACGGGGUAGCAAUACCCAGUGGCAGACGGGUGAGUAACACGUGGUCAACCUACCUCUGUGUGGGGGAUAACUAGCCGAAAGGUUAGCUAAUACCGCAUACGAUCGUUUUGAGGCAUCUCGAGACGAUGAAAGGAGCAAUCCGCACGGAGAGGGGACUGCGUCCCAUUAGUUAGUUGGUGGGGUAACGGCCUACCAAGACUCCGAUGGGUAGCUGGCUUGAGAGAGCGACCAGCCACACUGGAACUGAGAAACGGUCCAGACUCCUACGGGAGGCAGCAGUGAGGAAUUUUCCGCAAUGGGCGAAAGCCUGACGGAGCGACGCCGCGUGUGGGAUGAAGGCCUUCGGGUCGUAAACCACUGUCGAAGGGGACGAUAAUGACGGUACCCUUGGAGGAAGCCCCGGCUAACGUACGUGCCAACGAGCCGC